AUUGAACGCUGGCGGCAUGCCUUACACAUGCAAGUCGAGCGGAGCGAGGGUGCUUGCACCUUAGCUUAGCGGCGGACGGGUGAGUAAUGCUUAGGAAUCUGCCUAUUAGUGGGGGACAACAUUCCGAAAGGGAUGCUAAUACCGCAUACGCCCUACGGGGGAAAGCAGGGGAUCUUCGGACCUUGCGCUAAUAGAUGAGCCUAAGUCGGAUUAGCUAGUUGGUGGGGUAAAGGCCUACCAAGGCGACGAUCUGUAGCGGGUCUGAGAGGAUGAUCCGCCACACUGGGACUGAGACACGGCCCAGACCCCUACGGGAGGCAGCAGUGGGGAAUAUUGGACAAUGGGCGGAAGCCUGAUCCAGCCAUGCCGCGUGUGUGAAGAAGGCCUUUUGGUUGUAAAGCACUUUAAGCGAGGAGGAGGCUACUAGUAUUAAUACUACUGGAUAGUGGACGUUACUCGCGGAAUAAGCACCGGCUAACUCUGUGCCAGCCGCCGCCGAA
Molecule: ribosomal RNA, 500 nt
Filed under: uncultured bacterium
Lineage: Bacteria
Description: partial 16S ribosomal RNA
Rfam family: Bacterial small subunit ribosomal RNA
Source: RNAcentral